Molecule: transfer RNA, 86 nt
Filed under: Alphaproteobacteria bacterium MarineAlpha6_Bin5
Lineage: Bacteria; Pseudomonadati; Pseudomonadota; Alphaproteobacteria
Also listed under: 2 other names
Description: tRNA-Tyr
Rfam family: tRNA
About the family: Transfer RNA (tRNA) molecules are approximately 80 nucleotides in length.
Source: RNAcentral
GGAGGGGUGGCCGAGUGGUUAAAGGCGGCAGUCUGUAAAACUGUUGACAUUUGUCUACGUUGGUUCGAAUCCAACCCCCUCCACCA